CCCCUAGGGACCGGCUCUGCAGAGCCCCGGGGGCCUGACCCCGCCGGGCGCUAGUCUGGUCCAGGGGACGGUGUCGCAAAGUCGAUGUGGUGCCUAAAUUGCGGGGAUCAGAGGAGCUGACGUCAACGAGAUCGCCGGACACACUUUGGUAGGUCGUCAAAAUCCCUACCCUCCACUUCAGAGCCUUUCCUGGCCAAAGUCUGCGCCUGAAAGUGGCCGAAGACGUCUAACACUGUGAAGUGUCCAAGCAGUGAGCGAGGCCUUCCCAGCUGGGCCGCCGCUUCACAGCUCGUCCAAGGGCAUCUUCGCUCCUCAGCACGGUGAGCAGGCCGGAUCCGAAGCGCAGAAAGUCUACGUGAACUGAGUCAUGGUUCGAACCUCAAACCAUCUUCUUGGUUCUUGCCCCUUCUUCUCACAGAAGCGAAGGAAAUUCCUGUCUGCUUUCCACAGAGAGCUCUUCAGCCACUGUUUAGGAUGCUUGUACCGUUCUAGGGCAAUCGUGCCCUCUGAGCCACUUGGACAACCCGAUAACUUUGGAAAGAAAUCAAACUACAUGCAAAUGCUUUGGUUAGAGUUCAGGUAAUUUCCACAAAUGGCACUAUACAUUAUAAAAUAACACUUUACAUAUUAGGGUUCAACAUUACAGAGUUUUUCAGUUCUAGCAUGCUUCUUUAAUUAUUUCAGGCUUGCUUUUUGUAUCCAUCUUAUUUAUUAUCAAAUGGUAGUAAUCCAAACAUUUAUUUAGCUAAUACCUUAAAC
This 759-nucleotide long non-coding RNA is filed under the name Heterocephalus glaber (naked mole-rat). Its description in RNAcentral is "lncRNA (ENSHGLG00000045757.1)". Lineage: Eukaryota; Metazoa; Chordata; Mammalia; Rodentia; Bathyergidae. The record is from RNAcentral.